Molecule: ribosomal RNA, 761 nt
Filed under: Vibrio sp. a254
Lineage: Bacteria; Pseudomonadati; Pseudomonadota; Gammaproteobacteria; Vibrionales; Vibrionaceae
Description: bacterial SSU rRNA
Rfam family: Bacterial small subunit ribosomal RNA
Source: RNAcentral
CCACACUGGACUGAGACACGGUCCAGACUCCUACGGGAGGCAGCAGUGGGGAAUAUUGCACAAUGGGCGCAAGCCUGAUGCAGCCAUGCCGCGUGUAUGAAGAAGGCCUUCGGGUUGUAAAGUACUUUCAGCAGUGAGGAAGGUGAUGUAGUUAAUAACUGCAUCAUUUGACGUUAGCUGCAGAAGAAGCACCGGCUAACUCCGUGCCAGCAGCCGCGGUAAUACGGAGGGUGCGAGCGUUAAUCGGAAUUACUGGGCGUAAAGCGCAUGCAGGUGGAUGAUUAAGUCAGAUGUGAAAGCCCGGGGCUCAACCUCGGAAUUGCAUUUGAAACUGGUCAUCUAGAGUACUGUAGAGGGGGGUAGAAUUUCAGGUGUAGCGGUGAAAUGCGUAGAGAUCUGAAGGAAUACCGGUGGCGAAGGCGGCCCCCUGGACAGAUACUGACACUCAGAUGCGAAAGCGUGGGGAGCAAACAGGAUUAGAUACCCUGGUAGUCCACGCCGUAAACGAUGUCUACUUGGAGGUUGUGGCCUUGAGCCGUGGCUUUCGGAGCUAACGCGUUAAGUAGACCGCCUGGGGAGUACGGUCGCAAGAUUAAAACUCAAAUGAAUUGACGGGGGCCCGCACAAGCGGUGGAGCAUGUGGUUUAAUUCGAUGCAACGCGAAGAACCUUACCUACUCUUGACAUCCAGAGAACUUUCCAGAGAUGGAUUAGUGCCUUCGGGAACUCUGAGACAGGUGCUGCAUGGCUGUCGUCAGCUCG